RNAcentral lists this transfer RNA (68 nucleotides) under Marmota monax (woodchuck). RNAcentral's name for it is "tRNA.Ala". The record is from RNAcentral. Lineage: Eukaryota; Metazoa; Chordata; Mammalia; Rodentia; Sciuridae.
GGAUUGUGGCUCAGCGGUAGAGUGCUCGCCUAGCAAGAGCAAGGCUCUGGGUUCAAUCCUCAGUACCA